AAGUAUGGUAUUCUGUAAUUUUGUCAAUGAAUACGUGGAGAAGCGUCACGAUGCGAUGGAUAAAGCAAGAGAAGUAUACUUCGAAGAACUACAAUUUGGUUUUUAAUUUUGUUGAGUAUCUUUGUUAUUUGUGUUCGUCGCGUAUUGAUCGUAUGUAAUUUGUCUGUUAAAUCACUCGUUGCUCUCUCAAAAAAAAAAGAUCGAGUUGGUUUUUUUUCCGACGUAUGGGCUUGUGAUGAUGCUCGAGGGGGGUGACGAGUUGUUAGUAUGUUUUGUCUUUCCUUUUGUUUUUGUUAUGGGUGUUGUUGUCAUAGAACAACACUACUAUUAUGGAAUGUCCAUGCUUAAUGGGUUGAGUGUUAGUUGAUCGCGUAUGCCGGCCCUAUUAGAGAAGGUCGACAUAGCCUCAACAAGUUGACGAGUGGAGGUGUCGCGUCGACUACUCUACAUCUCUCGGCUCCCAACGUCAGACUGGCCGUGUUUUUUCAAACAAGACUAGAACACCUUCAAUCCUAUUCCUCUCCUUUUGAUUACCUUCAGAGGUUGUG
RNAcentral lists this long non-coding RNA (548 nucleotides) under Brachypodium distachyon (stiff brome). RNAcentral describes it as "long non-coding RNA (BDIS_LNC002361)". Lineage: Eukaryota; Viridiplantae; Streptophyta; Magnoliopsida; Poales; Poaceae. The record is from RNAcentral.